RNAcentral lists this long non-coding RNA (627 nucleotides) under Equus asinus (donkey). Its description in RNAcentral is "lncRNA (ENSEASG00005035774.1)". The record is from RNAcentral. Lineage: Eukaryota; Metazoa; Chordata; Mammalia; Perissodactyla; Equidae.
UGGAGAGUAAGUUUAUGACCUAUUAUGACUAUGUGAUGAAGACUCCAAAAAAGUACAGAGUUCAGACAGCAUUCAGAUUGGAGAACACAUCUAUGCGUGGAGAGAUGAAGCUUCCGGAUUCCAGAAGCUCCGGCACUGAGAACUCUUCCAGACCUUGCCCCAUGUCUCUCUUCAUCUGGCUGUUCAUUUGCAUCCCUUAUCAUAUCCUUUAAUGUAUAAUAAACUGAUUCAUACUGGUGGUUUUCUCCUUACUCAUCAUUGAAUGGGAGAAGUUCUGUCCAGACCUGCUGUCCCUAAAUAAUCCAUAGAGCAUGCUGACUUACCCUGCUUUCUUCCAAAAGAAAACUGAAGCUUGGAUUCCAGAAUGAGAAAAUGAGUUGAACAGAGCCAGAUGAACCCAGCUAGGUCAAGCCAAGCCCACAGAACCCCAGCUGAUCUGCAACAUUCAUGAAACAUUCUGUGGGUCUGCAAUUAGGACAGGGCAAACAGGGAUGGUUUGUCUCUGCUCCAUUCUGUCUGGUACCUCAGUUGGGAAGAUAAGAAGGCUGGGACUGAUGUGAUAGAUGGAGUCUGGAAUCAUCUGGAAGCAUCUUUACUUACAUCUUUGGAGGUUGAUGCCUGUUGUUG